GAUGAAGAACGCAGUGAAAUGCGAUACUUGGUGUGAAUUGCAGAAUCCCGUGAACCAUCGAGUCUUUGAACGCAAGUUGCGCCUCAAGCCAUUAGGUUGAGGGCACGUCUGCCUGGGCGUCACAUAUCGUUGCCUGAUGCCAGUUUCCUCGUGAUGGGUGACUGUGCAGGGCGAAUGAUGGCUUCCCGUGAGCAUUGUUGCCUCAUGGUUGGUUGAAAAUUGAGUCCUUGGUAGGGAGCGCCGUGAUAGAUGGUGGUUGAGUGACGAACGGACCCAAUCAUGUGAGACCCCUACCGAAUUUGGCCUUCAUGACCCACAUGCGUCUUUGGAACGCUCAUGACGAGACCUCAGGUCAGGCGGGGCUACCCGCUGAGUUUAAGCAUAUCAAUAAGCGGAGGA
Molecule: unclassified non-coding RNA, 399 nt
Filed under: soil metagenome
Description: partial contains 5.8S ribosomal RNA, internal transcribed spacer 2, and large subunit ribosomal RNA
Rfam family: 5.8S ribosomal RNA (bases 1-122)
Source: RNAcentral